AUCCAGCUAACGAGUUCCAAAUAGGAUGAAACGCGUUUCCUGAAU
Non-coding RNA from Schistosoma rodhaini, 45 nucleotides. NCBI's taxonomy places the organism in Eukaryota, Metazoa, Platyhelminthes, Trematoda, Strigeidida, Schistosomatidae. The record is from Rfam.